UCGCUAUAAAUUCACCUAUUAUAAACUAUCUAAUCAAUUAUCACCUAUCCACAAAACAUAAUUUAAAUGGUGAUGAGAUGAUGAACCUUCUUGGAACCAAGUAAGUAAAGUUUUUUCAGCCCCAUAGACAAAGUUGUAGGUGAAAUAGAUAGAUAGAAACAACACAUUACUCAAGCCUAAUAUAGGGUGGCCCAAUUAUACAUGGUCACAAUGUCUACCUUCACAAUAACAAGCAAACCCAUGUGGGACUUAUCUUAUAAGAUAUGAUCAAUCUUUAGGGUAGUUGAAUUUCACCAUUAAGUGAAUAUGAAGGAAUUGUGCGUGUGUUAUGGCUUUCCGGCAAUGAUAACCGUCCUUCAUUUAAGGUCGACAAAGAUAACGACUAUGUUAUGUUUUGAAACAACAGAGUACAUGUGAUCAUGGAAGACAUUGUUG
Molecule: long non-coding RNA, 435 nt
Filed under: Trifolium pratense (red clover)
Lineage: Eukaryota; Viridiplantae; Streptophyta; Magnoliopsida; Fabales; Fabaceae
Description: long non-coding RNA (TPRA_LNC013244)
Source: RNAcentral